CAGAAAGUAGUUUGUGCUGUU
This 21-nucleotide microRNA is filed under the name Gallus gallus (chicken). Its description in RNAcentral is "MIR-c8". The record is from RNAcentral. Lineage: Eukaryota; Metazoa; Chordata; Aves; Galliformes; Phasianidae.